CCUGGCUACGCAAGCAUCCGCGUAGAGCAAAUAGUUGAUAGCCAGUAUGAAGGUCUAGAGCUCGACCUCCCGGGAGGCGACGGGGAAAAGACAUUGGCAGAUGCGCUUCAUGGGAUCAUUCUAUGGCGAAAACGCUACAUCAUUAUUCCCGGCACGGAGCCAUCUCCUCAGAGCUCAAGACCGCUCCCCGUAGAUCCCCAGCAGCGACCUUCUCCUCAUACCUCGAGACCGUCAUCUCCUGCUCCAGGACCGUCCCUUCCAUCUAUAUCAAGGUCUCCAUCUCCACCACAUCCUGGUGCUGGGAGCGAUGACGACAAUA
RNAcentral lists this long non-coding RNA (319 nucleotides) under Setaria viridis. RNAcentral's name for it is "long non-coding RNA (SVIR_LNC001946)". Lineage: Eukaryota; Viridiplantae; Streptophyta; Magnoliopsida; Poales; Poaceae. The record is from RNAcentral.